AAAAAAUUAUGAUUUUAUAAAUUUAUUUAAAAUUUAUUUUACAUAUAAAUUUUAGUGUGAAUUUUUAAUUAUUUAAAUAAUAAUUAUAAAAGAAUUGUAGUAAUUAGAUUUAAAGAUUUAAGAAAUUAAGAUUUAGUAAUAUUUAAAUUAAUAACAAAUUUUGUGCCAGCAGUUGCGGUUAUACAAAAAUUAAAUUAAAUUUUUUCAGUAUUUAAUAAAUAAUUAAUUAAUUUAAAAUAAAUAUUAAAUUAUUAGGUAAAAUUUUAAUUUAAAAAAAAAUUAUAUAAUAAUUAUGAUUUAUUAAAUUUAUAAAUAAACUAGGAUUAGAUACCCUAUUAUAAAAUUUAUAAAAUAAUACUAAAAUAGUAUGUAAUAAUUUAUUGAAACUUAAUUAAGUUGGCGGUAUUUUAGUUCAUUUAGAGGAAUCUGUUUAAUAAUUGAUAAUCCACGAAUAAAUUUACUUAAUUUAAAAUUUUAUAUAUCGUUGUUAAAAAAAUAUUUUUAAAAAAAAAUAAUAUUUAAAAAUUUUUAAUAAAAUUAAUUCAGAUCAAGAUGUAGAUUAUAAUUAAGAAUAUAAUGGAUUACAAUAAAUUUAUUUAAAUAGAAGUAAAUUUUGAAAAAAAUAACUAAAAGUGGAUUUAAAUGUAAUUUUAUUUAAUUUAUUAAAAUGAUUAAAAAUUAAAAUAUGUACAUAUUGCCCGUCACUUUCAUUUUAAAAUUGAAAUAAGUCGUAACAAAGUAGAUGUACUGGAAAGUGUUUCUAGAAUAA
RNAcentral lists this non-coding RNA (769 nucleotides) under Abisara fylla. The record is from RNAcentral. Lineage: Eukaryota; Metazoa; Arthropoda; Insecta; Lepidoptera; Riodinidae.